GAGGGUAUAGCUCAGUGGUAGAUCAUGUGCUUAGCAUGCACAAGGUCCUAGGUUCAGUCCCCAGUACCUCCA
This 72-nucleotide transfer RNA is filed under the name Camelus dromedarius (Arabian camel). It matches the Rfam family "tRNA". Rfam says of the family: Transfer RNA (tRNA) molecules are approximately 80 nucleotides in length. Their secondary structure includes four short double-helical elements and three loops (D, anti-codon, and T loops). The record is from Rfam by way of RNAcentral. Lineage: Eukaryota; Metazoa; Chordata; Mammalia; Artiodactyla; Camelidae. RNAcentral also lists the same sequence under 1 other name.